ACAACCCAAAUCCUCUGCAUCCAAGUCUAAAAAGGCUACAAAGUCUGAUGAAAAUCCCUCCACUGUGAAGACCAGAACCUCUGUUGCUACACAAGUUCUAAAGACAAAAUCUGAUAAACCAACAAACUCUGAUGCUGUAAACACUGAUGCUGUAAACUCUGAUGCUGUAAACACUGAAGCUGCUUCUCCACCAAAGCAGAAAAGAAGGAGACUUGUUGCCGCCUAUGAUUAUGAAGAUCUGGAAGCCC
RNAcentral lists this long non-coding RNA (248 nucleotides) under Daucus carota (carrot). Its description in RNAcentral is "long non-coding RNA (DCAR_LNC007586)". Lineage: Eukaryota; Viridiplantae; Streptophyta; Magnoliopsida; Apiales; Apiaceae. The record is from RNAcentral.